RNAcentral lists this ribosomal RNA (253 nucleotides) under uncultured bacterium. RNAcentral's name for it is "partial 16S ribosomal RNA". It matches the Rfam family "Bacterial small subunit ribosomal RNA", at positions 524 to 776 of the family's 1533-position model. The record is from RNAcentral.
UACGUAGGGGGCUAGCGUUGUCCGGAUUUAUUGGGCGUAAAGAGCGUGUAGGCGGCCAUGUAGGUCCGGUGUGAAAACUCGAGGCUUAACCUCGAGAUGUCAUCGGAAACCAUUUGGCUAGAGUCCGGAAGAGGAGAGUGGAAUUCCUGGUGUAGCGGUGAAAUUCGUAGAUAUCGGCAGGAACACCCGUGGCGCAAGCGGCCACCUAGCCCAAUCCUGACGCUGAGGCGCGACAGCGUGGGGAGCGAACGGG